CAUCAAUUAAAUACGGGUCCUCAUAUAUUUCUUGGGAUAUGGCCUUGAAGUUUCUACCCGGCACCGUAAAUGCUGGACUAUGAGGAAGGAUGAAUCAUUG
RNAcentral lists this non-coding RNA (100 nucleotides) under Ornithinibacillus halophilus. RNAcentral describes it as "Guanine sequence". It matches the Rfam family "Purine riboswitch aptamer". Rfam says of the family: Riboswitches are metabolite binding domains within certain messenger RNAs that serve as precision sensors for their corresponding targets. Allosteric rearrangement of mRNA structure is mediated by ligand binding, and this results in modulation of gene expression. The record is from Rfam by way of RNAcentral. Lineage: Bacteria; Bacillati; Bacillota; Bacilli; Caryophanales; Bacillaceae.